AACGCGAAGAACCUUACCUGGGCUCGAAAUGUAGUGGAAUAGGGUGGAAACAUCCUAGGCUCGCAAGAGACUGCUAUAUAGGUGCUGCAUGGCUGUCGUCAGCUCGUGUCGUGAGAUGUUGGGUUAAGUCCCGCAACGAGCGCAACCCUUACCCCCAGUUGCCAUCAUUAAGUUGGGCGACUCUGGUGGAACCGCCUCGGAUAACGGGGAGGGAAGGUGGGGAGUGACGUCAAGUCCUCAUGGCCUUUAUGUCCAGGGCUACACACGUGCUACAAUGGCCGGUACAAACCGUCGCAAACCCGCGAGGGGGAGCUAAUCGGAAAAAGACCGGCCUCAGUUCGGAUCGCAGUCUGCAACUCGACUGCGUGAAGCUGGAAUCGCUAGUAAUCGCGGAUCAGAAUGCCGCGGUGAAUACGUUCCCGGGCCUUGUACACACCGCGCAUA
This 444-nucleotide ribosomal RNA is filed under the name uncultured bacterium. RNAcentral describes it as "bacterial SSU rRNA". It matches the Rfam family "Bacterial small subunit ribosomal RNA", at positions 958 to 1398 of the family's 1533-position model. The record is from RNAcentral.